GAUGAACGCUGGCGGCGUGCUUAACACAUGCAAGUCGAACGGAAAGGCCCAAGCUUGCUUGGGUACUCGAGUGGCGAACGGGUGAGUAACACGUGGGUGAUCUGCCCUGCACUUCGGGAUAAGCCUGGGAAACUGGGUCUAAUACCGGAUAGGACCACAUUUUGGAUGGUGUGGUGGAAAGUUUUUCGGUGUGGGAUGAGCUCGCGGACUAUCAGCUUGUUGGUGGGGUAAUGGCCUACCAAGGCGUCGACGGGUAGCCGGCCUGAGAGGGUGUACGGCCACAUUGGGACUGAGAUACGGCCCAGACUCCUACGGGAGGCAGCAGGGGGGAAUAUUGCACAAUGGGCGCAAGCCGGAUGCAGCGACGCCGCGUGGGGGAUGACGGCCUUCGGGUUGUAAACUCCUUUCGCUAGGGACGAAGCGUUAUGUGACGGUACCUGGAGAAGAAGCACCGGCUAACUACGUG
This 466-nucleotide ribosomal RNA is filed under the name uncultured bacterium. Its description in RNAcentral is "partial 16S ribosomal RNA". It matches the Rfam family "Bacterial small subunit ribosomal RNA", at positions 28 to 507 of the family's 1533-position model. The record is from RNAcentral.